Molecule: non-coding RNA, 108 nt
Organism: Acanthosepion pharaonis
Lineage: Eukaryota; Metazoa; Mollusca; Cephalopoda; Sepiida; Sepiidae
Source: the annotation of a GenBank genome assembly
UUACGGCCAUAUCAGGUUGAAACACCGUUUCCCGUAUGAUCAUCGAAACAACGUCGAGCAUAGCCAGUACCUAGAUGGGUAACCGCUUGGGAAUAACAGGUGUUGUGA